CUUCGUCUCCUCAGAGUGUGUCAACUGCACGUGUUCUUGCAUACCGGGCUACACCUACGUGGAAGGUGUUAUCGGCAGGUGCGAGGUGUUAACGAGCGAAGGAGAUUCCUCGCCUGCUGUUUAAGGGAGUGACAAGCUUCCCUUGGAGGCUUGUUGGGAGAAGAGUCAGUGUACCGAGGGCUUGGAUUGCCUCGAUGGAGUCUGCGCGUGUCCGUCGCCGUGCGAGUACGUGCCGGAGAGG
Molecule: long non-coding RNA, 241 nt
Organism: Penaeus monodon (black tiger shrimp)
Lineage: Eukaryota; Metazoa; Arthropoda; Malacostraca; Decapoda; Penaeidae
Exons: 3
Source: RefSeq, a predicted model, not a curated record